UACGAAGGGGGCGAGCGUUGUUCGGAUUUACUGGGCGUAAAGGGCGCGUAGGCGGCCUUGUCAGUCAGGCGUGAAAGCCCCGGGCUCAACCUGGGAACGGCGCUUGGGACGGCGAGGCUGGAGUUCGGGAGAGGAGAGUGGAAUUCCCAGUGUAGAGGUGAAAUUCGUAGAUAUUGGGAAGAACACCGGUGGCGAAGGCGGCUCUCUGGACCGACACUGACGCUGAGGCGCGAAAGCGUGGGGAGCAAACAGG
Molecule: ribosomal RNA, 253 nt
Filed under: uncultured bacterium
Lineage: Bacteria
Description: partial 16S ribosomal RNA
Rfam family: Bacterial small subunit ribosomal RNA
Source: RNAcentral